Molecule: long non-coding RNA, 1156 nt
Filed under: Hordeum vulgare
Lineage: Eukaryota; Viridiplantae; Streptophyta; Magnoliopsida; Poales; Poaceae
Description: long non-coding RNA (HVUL_LNC015043)
Source: RNAcentral
UAUCUGGGGAAAUGAUCAUCUUGCGUGAGAUCCCGCUUGAAAGAAGAAUGACUCCGUGAAGCAGACGAACCGACGUAGUUGAACGGUCCUCACAUCCGACACGCUUGCGGAACUCUAUCGAGACAAAGGGAAACGAAAACAAGCAUCAACACACGAUAUUCCCCACACGAUGCAAGACACAUAUGAUGCAUGAGCUACUGAAUUCAUGCAAUUCACGGCAUGACAAUUCACACAAUCAAACACUACACGUUAACUGAAGUUCAAUAUGCAACGAGUUGCAUAUUGACGAAACUCCACAUAGGAAUUAUUUAGUUCACUCCCGGUUAUCUAUACGGCAAUAUUAAUGUUGUCAAACAUGCAAUAGGUGAAGCGGAAAUUAAACUACCUAUCUAGGCAUUUUAAAUGAGGUCGGAAAUGACAUAUAGCAUCUCCGAGGCGACCUCACAUGUUAAUUUACAAUUCUGUCCAGAUCUGAAUUAACACAUUUAAUUAGUAGUUAAACAGCAAAACAAAUAGGUUCUCGUGAUUCUAGGCGUCAAGGCAAGCAAUCUACACAUAAAGAACAUCUCCAAUGGAGCUACGGAUCAAAAGAUACAAGCACCGCAAGAUAUGAUGGCAUGAAUGCAAUAUGUGUGUAACGACGGUCACGAGCACUUCAAAACAUUCAAACAGCAAGAGAAAAUGAAACUACAUGAGAUUCUAAGCAUGUUUCAUGUAGGACACGAUCAAAUCGGAGCUACGGUUCAACAACUACGAGCAAAACAAGAAAUGACUACAAUCUGCCAAAAACAGCCACAUAGCAUUUUCUACGCCUCACAACUUCGGCUACACAACUCCGAUAUGCUCAAGAAAGGCAUGGCACGGAAGAGGGCAAGAAGCACUACUACAAACUACUAACAACAACUAAGAUGGCAGCAAGGAGCACUAGGAAAAGAAGACACAAAAUGGCAUCUCACGCACUAUUUCAGACUUAGUGAAAAUAACACCUCAUGAAAGUGCAGUUUUUGAUCUGAAGCAAUAUUGACAGCAGCAAAACCUAUAGCUACAGGACUCCAAAUGUCAUGAAACUUUACAGCAUGCUAGAGAAAUACAAGGGGUACAACUAACUCCAUUGGACCAACCUCAAAAGAGCUACACAUCACAAGAUACAAGCAAG